Anolis carolinensis (green anole) is the source of this 2416-nucleotide long non-coding RNA. RefSeq lists it as uncharacterized. The transcript is spliced from 3 exons. Lineage: Eukaryota; Metazoa; Chordata; Lepidosauria; Squamata; Anolidae. The record is from RefSeq and is a predicted model, not a curated record.
GUGCAAUAAUGCUACUAGAAUAUGGAUUGAAUCAGCGAUUCUCAACCUUGGGGCUCCACUUCCAAGGAACUACGACAAACAGCAGCACAGCAUGAAUGUGGGGAUAAUCACAGAUGGUGUGGCUGGCGGGGACGAGGGAGUGAGCCUUCUCGGUGGUGGCCCCCCGGCUUUGGAACUCUCUCUCCAGGGAGAUCAGGUUAGUUCCGUCAUUGCCCAUCUUUCGCAGUCAACUGAAGACAUGGAUGUUCCGGAGCACGUUUGAAUAAAUAGCCCAUCUGACUUGGUAUCUACUCUAUGUUUACUAGCACUUUAUCUUGCUCCUCACUCUACAUGCUAUAGCACUUUAAAUGAAAUUGUUCCUUUGUUCCUUCUUUACUCAUUUUGAUUUUAUUCUCAGACCUGGUGGAAUGUUGUAUUAGUCACCCUCUGCUCUGCAAAACAAUUUGAUGUUCCGGUUUUUAAAGUAACUAUUAUGUUGUUUUUAUCUUGUAUUGCAUUGUUUUUAAAUUUCAUUGUUUUAUUGGAUUGUGUAUUAUAUGCUAUGUUGUCAUAUUCUCAUUGUAAGCCAUGUAGAUAUAGAAGUUUAUCAUACAAGAUAGGAAAUUGUAAUUACAGUACGACAACAGUAUCUUACUCUUGGACACUGCUCCUUUCCCAUCAAUCUUCUAGUAGAAAACAGACUGGAAAGCAUCUUUUUCUAGCACAAAUAAUCCAGUAAUUUACCUGCCUUUGUAUAAGAAAUACCUUUCAACAGUCUCCCACCAGGACACCAAGGAGAAAAGAACAACGUCAUGUGAUAAGUCCAAAGCAAUAACAUUGUUGUACUGCUCUAAUUGUGAUUUGCUUGCCUCAUGUGAGAAAAAAAUCCAUAGUUAAAACUGUUACUAACAAAGAAUGUAAAAAAGGGCAUUGAUCACAGCAAUGUGUUGAAUGCAAUGGUAGCUAUAUAUAAACUGAAACACGGAGUAAAUGAAUGACAGGCUGCUUAAAGGUGACACUUCAGACAAACACCCAUUACAGAAUGUUACCUUGGAGAAUAUAAAGAAUUGCUAAUGUUUUAGGAUUAGGAGGACAAUACCAAAUAGUCAUGUUGGACCAUUAAAUGUAGGAAAUGUUUUGCAAAACCAACAACAGUAUACUGUGAGAUACAGCACUAGAUUUCUAAUUUUAUCACCAGAAUUUGAUUUCCUGUACAGCACUGUCUGUUAGCCAAUCCUUACCAUCUAAGCUUCACAAACCUCCUAGUCUGAAAGGAUUUAGUAAUAUUAAAGGCAGUAUGCUCCACAUUGUGGCCUAUGAAAUUCAUUGAACCGAACAAGGGUACAUAGUGCUGCAAAUCCACUGUUGCUGAUCUAUUUAUCAUGGCCUUCAUGUGAAAACAAAUAUCUUCUCAUUACUUGGCCCCACCUUCCCCUAAUAUAUGGUGGUUUCAAUCAUUCAUAGUCUGUUAGAUAUGUAAGGAGAUUACCUUUCUAAUACAAUCAAGACCAAAGAGGAUGGAAACAUUUAAAAAAAUCUUUUAAAAAGAGGAUGACAGUGAAGUAGGGGAAUUCUGGACAGAUUGGGAGGAAUCAUCCAUUGGCCACAUGAUAAGUCAAACACACACUAUGAUAUUUGAUAUGGAAAGGAGAAAGGUGGGUGUGAUGGGUAUAUCCAGCAUUUAUACAGUCCUCGUCUAUCCUUCUUUAACCAUGGGUUGUCUUACUUAAUAGGCAUUUUCUCUGCUAUAUCUGAUAAGGUUCUUAGUGUUUAUAACUUUAAUAAUAUAUUCUUUGCAAUGGUGAUUGAUACUUAAUGUGGCAUGUUUAAUGACACCCCUAAGAGUUUCCCCUUGUAACUACAUCAGGUCCUGUGUUUGUGACAUCACAAGAAAGCAUUCUUAGGAAUUAGAUUUUGGUGCAUAAUUGUCAAGGCCAGAAGAGUCCUGGACUUGCACUAGGCAUGGCAUCAGUGGAGUGUGCUUUGCAGUGGGUGUGGGGUGGAAGAGACUUGAAAACAUAUUAAAAAUUCAAGUGCCACUAGAGCCAGAGCCCCCGGGAAAGGGAAAAUUAAUAGUGCAGAGAUGCAAGAAUAACAAGAAAAAAAAUAGAUCUGUGAUUGACAAGAAUAACAGGAUCCCCAAUGAUAUCCAAAGGAUCCUGGAAAGUUAAUCUACUAAAGAUAAGUUUUAUGACAAAAAGAAGACUUUUUUGUGUGAAGAAGACAGCAGACAGGGUAGGAAGCAUUAGUUAGGGCUUUCUAUUUUCUAUUCCCAACUUUUCUAUUUCCUUUGUUUCAAAACACUAUGCACCCACUUUUCUAUCUUUCUGUUUUAGUUUAGAAAAUAAAUGUUUUCUUUUUUUUCUUUUUCACAUCAUAGAAAUCCUUUUUGUAUUAGAUAACAAUGGAGGAAGACAAAGAAGUAAGAUGUUUAAAA